AGUUUGAUCCUGGCUCAGAUUGAACGCUGGCGGCAGGCUUAACACAUGCAAGUCGAGCGGGGAAAAGUAGCUUGCUACUUUACCUAGCGGCGGACGGGUGAGUAAUGCUUAGGAAUCUGCCUAUUAGUGGGGGACAACAUUUCGAAAGGAAUGCUAAUACCGCAUACGUCCUACGGGAGAAAGCAGGGGACCUUCGGGCCUUGCGCUAAUAGAUGAGCCUAAGUCGGAUUAGCUAGUUGGUGGGGUAAAGGCCUACCAAGGCGACGAUCUGUAGCGGGUCUGAGAGGAUGAUCCGCCACACUGGGACUGAGACACGGCCCAGACUCCUACGGGAGGCAGCAGUGGGGAAUAUUGGACAAUGGGGGCAACCCUGAUCCAGCCAUGCCGCGUGUGUGAAGAAGGCCUUUUGGUUGUAAAGCACUUUAAGCGAGGAGGAGGCUACUUGGAUUAAUACUCUGAGAUAGUGGACGUUACUCGCAGAAUAAGCACCGGCUAACUCUGUG
This 503-nucleotide ribosomal RNA is filed under the name uncultured Acinetobacter sp. Its description in RNAcentral is "bacterial SSU rRNA". It matches the Rfam family "Bacterial small subunit ribosomal RNA", at positions 10 to 507 of the family's 1533-position model. The record is from RNAcentral. Lineage: Bacteria; Pseudomonadati; Pseudomonadota; Gammaproteobacteria; Moraxellales; Moraxellaceae.